This 66-nucleotide transfer RNA is filed under the name Aporia largeteaui. RNAcentral describes it as "tRNA-Tyr". It matches the Rfam family "tRNA". Rfam says of the family: Transfer RNA (tRNA) molecules are approximately 80 nucleotides in length. Their secondary structure includes four short double-helical elements and three loops (D, anti-codon, and T loops). The record is from RNAcentral. Lineage: Eukaryota; Metazoa; Arthropoda; Insecta; Lepidoptera; Pieridae.
AAUGAAAUGGCUGAGUUAUUUAAGCGAUAAAUUGUAAAUUUAUUUACGGGAGGUUCUCUUUUAUUA